AGAAGCCUCUUCCUCCACCAGUGCCAAUCUACAAGAAGCCUCUCCCUCCACCAGUGCCGGUAUACAAGAAGCCGGUCCCUCCCCCCGUCCCGGUCUACAAGAAGCCUCACCCUCCGCCCGUCCCAAUCUACAAGAAACCUCUCCCUCCACCUGUCCCAGUCUAUAAGAAGCCUAACCCUCCACCAGUCCCAGUAUACAAGAAACCUUACCCUCCACCAACACCAAUCUACAAGAAACCUCUCCCUCCUCCCGUCCCAGUCUAUAAGAAGCCUAACCCUCCACCAGUCCCAGUAUACAAGAAACCUUGCCCUCCACCAAAACCAAUCUACAAGAAACCUCUCCCUCCACCUGUCCCAAUCUAUAAGAAGCCUCUUCCACCACCAGUUCCAGUAUACAAGAAGCCACUUCCACCACUAGUCCCCAUAUACAAGAAGCCAUUUCCACCACCAGUCCCAAUAUACACAAAGC
This 468-nucleotide long non-coding RNA is filed under the name Malus domestica (apple). Its description in RNAcentral is "long non-coding RNA (MDOM_LNC004855)". The record is from RNAcentral. Lineage: Eukaryota; Viridiplantae; Streptophyta; Magnoliopsida; Rosales; Rosaceae.